This is a long non-coding RNA of Anolis sagrei ordinatus, 463 nucleotides long. RefSeq lists it as uncharacterized. The record is from RefSeq and is a predicted model, not a curated record. NCBI's taxonomy places the organism in Eukaryota, Metazoa, Chordata, Lepidosauria, Squamata, Anolidae.
GAGCAAGCUGCUUCCCAGGGCGCUAAGGGUGUAUCUCCCCACAGAAGAGGCACCCCUUUCCUUCCCUGCAUCCCUGCCCGCCAUCCCCACAAGCUGCUUUCGCCUCCAUUAUUCCCUGCAAGGCCUCCCUUCCGCCUGUGUUUCCAGGCCAGGCCUAAGAAGAAAGACACAGGCAGGCAGGCUGAGAGAGAGACCUCUGCAGAGACGAGAUGCCAGUCCACUUACCACCCAGGUACACACUCAAAGAAACAGAAAUUUCACACUUGCCUCCAUAAACAUCGACAACAGUGUCUCCAGAACGCAGUGUCCACCUUACUCUUCCACUCUGAAACGUCUGACUGCUUGUUCUGACUGAAAUGUUUUCUAUUUUUAGAUCAACUGAGCCACACUCAAAUUUCCAGCUGAUGUAACCCGACAAGGAUCCUUCUUUUCGUGCUAAAUAAACCUAGUUAGAAAUGAAAAA